RNAcentral lists this ribosomal RNA (483 nucleotides) under uncultured bacterium. RNAcentral describes it as "bacterial SSU rRNA". It matches the Rfam family "Bacterial small subunit ribosomal RNA", at positions 30 to 504 of the family's 1533-position model. The record is from RNAcentral.
UGAACGCUGGCGGCAUGCCUAACACAUGCAAGUCGAACGGUAACGCGGAGAGCUUGCUCUCUGGCGACGAGUGGCGGACGGGUGAGUAAUACUUAGGAAUCUGCCCAGUAGUGGGGGACAACUCGAGGAAACUCGAGCUAAUACCGCAUACGCCCUACGGGGGAAAGCGGGGGAUCUUCGGACCUCGCGCUAUUGGAUGAGCCUAAGUCGGAUUAGCUUGUAGGUAGGGUAACGGCCUACCUAGGCGACGAUCCGUAGCUGGUCUGAGAGGACGAUCAGCCACACUGGGACUGAGACACGGCCCAGACUCCUACGGGAGGCAGCAGUGGGGAAUAUUGGACAAUGGGCGCAAGCCUGAUCCAGCAAUGCCGCGUGUGUGAAGAAGGCCUGCGGGUUGUAAAGCACUUUCAGUAGAGAAGAAAAGCUUACGGUUAAUAACCGUGAGUCUUGACGUAACCUACAGAAGAAGCACCGGCUAACUCC